RNAcentral lists this ribosomal RNA (672 nucleotides) under Brosimum guianense (Guiana brosimum). RNAcentral's name for it is "eukaryotic LSU rRNA". The stretch from base 270 to 425 matches the Rfam family "5.8S ribosomal RNA". The record is from RNAcentral. Lineage: Eukaryota; Viridiplantae; Streptophyta; Magnoliopsida; Rosales; Moraceae.
CGUAGGUGAACCUGCGGAAGGAUCAUUGUCGAAACCUGCCCAGCAGAAAGACCCGUGAACACGUUAGAAAUACUCAGGGGGCGAGGGGUGUCAACGAGCCUCAAACCCCCUGUGCCUAGGGCUUCGGCCAUGGUCGAUGGCCUAGGCUUAAAAACAAACCCCGGCGCGGAAUGCGUCAAGGAAAAAUGAUGGAACGACCCAUGCCGCCAUAGCCCCAGAAAAUGGUGCGUUUAUAUGGUGGUUGAUUCGUGACUGUUUUAACUCAAAACGACUCUCGGCAACGGAUAUCUCGGCUCUCGCAUCGAUGAAGAACGUAGCGAAAUGCGAUACUUGGUGUGAAUUGCAGAAUCCCGUGAACCAUCGAGUCUUUGAACGCAAGUUGCGCCCGAAGCCAUUUGGCCGAGGGCACGUCUGCCUGGGCGUCACACAUCGUUGCCCCCCUAGACAUCCCCAUGUGGAUUGAUAAGGGGCAGAGGAUGGCCUCCCGUGCGCACUUUGUCUCGCGGUUGGUCCAAAAUUGAGUCCUCGGCCACAUUGUCAUGGCAAUAGGUGGUUGUCGAUCAUUCGGUGCCCCGUCAUGUGUGUUGGCCUCGCAUCGCGACUCUUGUAGACCCCAAUGCAUCUCUUAUGGAUGCUUCCAAUGCGACCCCAGGUCAGGCGGGGCUACCCGCU